Molecule: unclassified non-coding RNA, 320 nt
Filed under: plant metagenome
Description: partial contains 5.8S ribosomal RNA, internal transcribed spacer 2, and large subunit ribosomal RNA
Rfam family: 5.8S ribosomal RNA (bases 1-105)
Source: RNAcentral
GAAAUGCGAUAAGUAAUGUGAAUUGCAGAAUUCAGUGAAUCAUCGAAUCUUUGGACGCACAUUGCGCCCGCCAGUAUUCUGGCGGGCAUGCCUGUUCGAGCGUCAUUACAACCCUCAGGCCCCCGGGCCUGGCGUUGGGGAUCGGCGGAAGCCCCCUGCGGGCACAACGCCGUCCCCCAAAUACAGUGGCGGUCCCGCCGCAGCUUCCAUUGCGUAGUAGCUAACACCUCGCAACUGGAGAGCGGCGCGACCACGCCGUAAAACACCCAACUUCUGAAUGUUGACCUCGAAUCAGGUAGGAAUACCCGCUGAACUUAAGC